AACAGAAAAUUUGAAAUCAAUUUAAAUUUUGAUUGAAAAAAUGCUCAAUUAAAUUUAGUUUUGUUUUUGGUUUUUAAUGGCAAAAGUGUUAAUUCUUUCUGCGUGUGGCUUUUUUAGUUUUUGGAAAAUAAUGAAAAAUCUUGGAUGAUAAUAAUAAUUUCAAAGCAUUGGCUCCUGGCCAAAUUGGUAUUGAAUAGAAUGAAGUCAAAUUCCAUGGAAGAUCAUAAUUCAUUUGAAAACCCCAAUCAAAGUACAUUUUCUGAUUUGGAAC
Long non-coding RNA from Episyrphus balteatus (marmalade hoverfly), 271 nucleotides. RefSeq lists it as uncharacterized. NCBI's taxonomy places the organism in Eukaryota, Metazoa, Arthropoda, Insecta, Diptera, Syrphidae. The transcript has 3 exons. The record is from RefSeq and is a predicted model, not a curated record.